This 255-nucleotide ribosomal RNA is filed under the name Escherichia coli. RNAcentral's name for it is "partial 23S ribosomal RNA". It matches the Rfam family "Bacterial large subunit ribosomal RNA", at positions 1133 to 1387 of the family's 2925-position model. Lineage: Bacteria; Pseudomonadati; Pseudomonadota; Gammaproteobacteria; Enterobacterales; Enterobacteriaceae. The record is from RNAcentral.
CGUAAUAGCUCACUGGUCGAGUCGGCCUGCGCGGAAGAUGUAACGGGGCUAAACCAUGCACCGAAGCUGCGGCAGCGACACUAUGUGUUGUUGGGUAGGGGAGCGUUCUGUAAGCCUGUGAAGGUGUGCUGUGAGGUAUGCUGGAGGUAUCAGAAGUGCGAAUGCUGACAUAAGUAACGAUAAAGCGGGUGAAAAGCCCGCUCGCCGGAAGACCAAGGGUUCCUGUCCAACGUUAAUCGGGGCAGGGUGAGUCGA